RNAcentral lists this ribosomal RNA (277 nucleotides) under uncultured bacterium. Its description in RNAcentral is "partial 16S ribosomal RNA". It matches the Rfam family "Bacterial small subunit ribosomal RNA", at positions 92 to 354 of the family's 1533-position model. The record is from RNAcentral.
CGACCGGCGCGACGGUGAGUAACACGUAUAGUAAACCGUACGACCCGGUACGCACGGGGGAUAAGCGGAAGAAAUUCCGUCUAAUACCGCGUAACAACCCGAGGAGGCAUCUCCUCGGGGUUUAAAGGAAGCGAUUCCGGCUACGGAUGGUCAUGCGUCGCAUUAGCUAGUUGGCGGGGUAACGGCCCACCAAGGCGACGAUGCGUAGGGGUUCUGAGAGGAAGGUACCCCCACACUGGUACUGAGACACGGACCAGACUCCUACGGGAGGCAGCAG